UACGUAGGUGGCAAGCGUUGUCCGGAUUUACUGGGCGUAAAGAGCGUGUAGGCGGUCCGGUAAGUCCGCUGUGAAAGUCGGGGGCUCAACCCUCGAAUGCCGGUGGAUACUGUCGGACUAGAGUACAGAAGGGGCAACUGGAAUUCUCGGUGUAGCGGUGAAAUGCGCAGAUAUCAGGAGGAACACCGGUGGCGAAGGCGGCAUCCUGGACCGAAUAUUGACGCUGAGGAGCGAAAGCCAGGGGAGCAAACGGG
This 254-nucleotide ribosomal RNA is filed under the name uncultured bacterium. Its description in RNAcentral is "partial 16S ribosomal RNA". It matches the Rfam family "Bacterial small subunit ribosomal RNA", at positions 524 to 776 of the family's 1533-position model. The record is from RNAcentral.